GGAAAGUGAUUCUUUCGGCCAAGAAGAAAUUUGAGUUGUCCGCCUUCAUACCAGAGAGUAGCGUUUUCAUUGGUAGUAAAUCAGGACAAGAAGAUAGUGAGAGGAAAGUGAUUCUUUCGGCCAAGAAGAAAUUUGAGUUGUCCGCCUUCAUACCAGAGAGUAGCGUUUUCAUUGGUAGUAAAUCAGGACNNNNNGAUGUCAAGUGCUUCAAAGAAGAGCACAAGAAGUGUAGGUAUCAAAUGAGGAACAGGAGG
RNAcentral lists this unclassified non-coding RNA (254 nucleotides) under Hevea brasiliensis (rubber tree). Lineage: Eukaryota; Viridiplantae; Streptophyta; Magnoliopsida; Malpighiales; Euphorbiaceae. The record is from RNAcentral.